GCCACUGCCAUACCACCCUGAACGUGCCCGAUCUGGUCUGAUAUCAAAAGCUAAGAAGGGUCCGGCCUGGUUAACACGUGGAUAGGAGACCGCCUGGGAAUACCGGGUCCUGUAGGCU
Ribosomal RNA from Cercocebus atys (sooty mangabey), 118 nucleotides. The record is from Ensembl. NCBI's taxonomy places the organism in Eukaryota, Metazoa, Chordata, Mammalia, Primates, Cercopithecidae.